This is a long non-coding RNA of Ailuropoda melanoleuca (giant panda), 3607 nucleotides long. RefSeq lists it as uncharacterized. The record is from RefSeq and is a predicted model, not a curated record. The transcript has 6 exons. Lineage: Eukaryota; Metazoa; Chordata; Mammalia; Carnivora; Ursidae.
UCAAAUCACUUCUAUUUCAUAGUCAAGAAUCACUUCUCAGCCAUAAGUGCAAGGACUCUCAAGGCUUUUUAACUUGCUUUUCCUCUCAUAGAUGCCUUACUGAAACCUUGGAGGCAGACUCUUGAUAUAACAAUCAAUGUUGCCAUAUUUUCAGUUUCUUCCAUUCCUCUAAGGAACUCUCUAGCUCUGUGUUGGGGCAGCAAAUGGGUUCAUAGAAAUGAGCCAACCAAAAAGAAUAAUUUGUGAGAAGUCAAAUGUUAAUGUAAUGUGAAUGCAGGCUUAAGCUUACAUGUGGCUGCAAAAUUUGUAUCAGUAGAAUUGACGGUUACUAGAUCUCAUUAUACUUUGUGUGCUUUUGGUGUUGAUGACAGUCCUUUUCUCAGGGCAAUGACUUAGAGGAAGAUACUUAUGUAACUGCUGUUUCUUAUGACGUGUCCUAGAAGACUCUUCGAUGACCCAUUCUAGUUACCUUCUACUUUUUAUUGAUAACGAUAAGACUCCUCUCAAGUAUAUUUUGCAUUUUAAUUGGGGAUGCUUAAAAGGAGUUUGAGAUUCAAAGACACUCAUAAUAGUAGAGAAUGAGCAGAGCAGAUGCCACCUUGGCAGAAGGACUUUUCUGACUCUCAAAUUACCUCCAUGUGAUUUCUCAGUGUCACACGGGAAGUCACUUAUUCUGUCACUUUAAGAACAGACUACCUUGAUGGGCCCCAUUUCUGCUGCACAAUUCUUUGACCUUGAUGGGAGAGUUUAUUUUUUUUCUUUUUUUCCUCCCUUGUUGAUAUAGCGUCAUAGCAAUCAAAGGAGCAGAAUCCAAUAGCAGGGAUUCAGGCCCAGGACAAGGCAAAUGGGCUUAAUUUUUUUUAGGGUCAAGCAGUAAUUUACCAAUCUGUCAGUUUGUCUUCUGUUCUCUGUCUUGAGUCAUAAUUGUAUGAAACAGAAUGAAAACAAAAUAGGCUUCAUUUUCAGGUCUUUGUAUUUACAGUGGAAUUUAUCAGAUGGCCCUCUAACCCCUAUAAACAAGAACUUGUCGAGGCUUAGAAUUCAUAAAAUUCUUUGAAUUUGACUCUUCUUCCUUAGCCUGAUGUACAAGUUAAAAAUGGGCAAAUAUAAUGUCCAUAGGACGAAAUAGCAGCAUUUAUUAAAACAUUCAUGUUAGAGGAAAAGACAUCAAAAUAUUUUUGGUCAAAGAUAUUUAAUCUUUCGCUACACAUUAGAUGUCUUUUCACAUGAGCUUUAAAUAUGUAAUUUAGGGGAUCACAGUCCUAUGCAGAUAGCUAAAACGAUGAUCUGUUUGGCAAUCCACUUUAGAACACAUACCAACUUCAUUUCCUUCCCAGGGUGCCAAGUUGAGAUUUAUUCCUGUGUAGGGGUAGGUGACUCGCAUUAGUUACCUCCUGCUAUGUAAGAAGUGACCCCUAGAUUCAGUGGCUUAAAACAAAGUGAAUUUUUAUCUCACGGUUCUAUUGGUCGAUAUUCUGGGUAGAGCAAACGGGACCUUCUACUCCAGGGAUUUUCACAGGCUGUAGCCAAGGUACCAGCCAGGCUAGAGUCAUCCUAAAACUCAGUUGAGGAAAGAUUUGCUUCCAAGAAGCAAAUCUGACACUUUCCCAAGUGUAAUGUUUAAAAAAUAUUCUUAAUAAACGGAUACUCCAAAGUUACAAAGUACUGAUUCCUCCAGGUGAAAAAUAAACUACGACUCAUUUUAAUUUUGGCUCAGAGGAGCCUGAUUUUCUCCACCUUAAGAGAACUGAUCAUCAGGCAGAAUGAAAGAGCUGAGGUAUUAUUGCUUUAUAGGAUGGUUACAGAUAACAGGGCUGCCAUGCUAGGUUUCUUCAUUGAGCUCGUUUUUUCCAGAAACGCAAACUUCCUGGCCCACCUAGAGACUUGCAGCAUGUCCAAACAAAUGCAGUGCUUCCACUUAAUAAAUAGUUGAGAAUGAAAAUUAAUUUCAGGUCUUUCACUGAUAAGGAACAUAAAAUUGUCAAAACAGCUUUUUGGGUUGAAGCUAGGCUUUAUAAAUAUUUACUCAAAGACGAAAAACUGAAUAAUGAGCAGUUUAAUCUAUUCUUCCUUAUAUGCUUUAGUUCCACAGAAGCCAGUGGGAAGCUCUGAUCUUGCUAAGAAGAUAUCCAACCGAGUAAAAAUUGAGGAGUAGUGGGAAAAUCGAGGGUGAAAUCAGUGCUACUUACAUGUAAUGGAACUAAUUUCUCCCUCCUUGGAACUCUGUUAGCAUUCUUAAUACCCCAGUUAGUAGAUAUUUCAAAUACAAAACUUCUGUCUACUAAGUUCAUUCAAGCCAUCAUUCUCUUUUGACCUCACCACAAAAAUAGCCUCCUAACUAGUCUGUCUCCUUAAUGCCUCUGCUUCGUUAAAAAAGCCACAAGGAGAAAUCUAGCACAGUGGUGUGGGACGUCAGUAGCGGGAAAUGUUGUGUAUGUGGAGGGACAUACGGUAUAUAGGAACUCUUUGUACUUUCUACUACAUUUUACUGUGAACCUAAAAUGUGCUGUAAAAUAAGUUUAUUAAUUUGAAAAAAGGCCACAAGCAUUCUUUCGAAACAAAGCCAGGUCAUUUUUUCUUUUCCUUCUCUGCUCAAUAUCUUCCAAAACUUCCCAUCCCUAUCAAAAUAAAAUUUAACAUCCUUACCAUAACCCGUAAGCUGUAUAAGAUCUGGCCUAGGGUAUUUCUCUGCCACCCUUCCAGCCGCCCUCUACCCGUUCUUUCAUUUUUGACAAACUGGCUUCCUCAUUACUCCUCAAGUGGACCGGUUGUGCCCCUCCUUCUGAGGUAUUGCCUGUUCUGCUCUAACGGCAUUCUCUCCUAGAUAUCUGCAUACACUGUCCUCUUCGAUGUACGUCAGAGGGGGACCACAUAUCUUGCAGAAGAGGCCCUUGCUCAUCAUCAUCGAAUCUAAUAGAGUCCCAGAAGAGGGAAGCAAGUGUGCCACACAAGGGCCAUAGGGGAGAAACUCCAAGGGAACAGUUUCUCACAUCAAGAGACAGAGGAGAGCAUCCCCUCCCUCAAAUCUGGAUUAUCCAACUUGGUUGGGGCCAAAACAAUGCAGUGGAAGUGACAAGCCAGGGCAGCAUACAUAAGUCAUGUGGGAUUUGAAGAGAUUUGCUUUCUUUUUCCUGGAAACAGAAAGCUUUUUGGUUCCUUUUUCAUGGGAAGGAGCAAAAGACAACACUACCUGGAAAAUGUCCUUGAUAUGUAUCAGAGGAAGAUUUUCUAACUUACAGAAAUAAGCCAGAAAGUUCAUGAAAGCCUCCUUCCUAGAGCACAUGGUUAUGGGGACACCACAUAAUCAUACUAUCACCGAGCUAAAGCACAUAAUAAAAAGUAGAGAAGACUCCUGAAUUCUGAUCUUGAAUCACAAUACACAAAAGUGAUAAAAGACAAAUAGACAAAAUUAUAAUUGCUGGUUAACAAUGUUUUUAUAUAGAUACAUCUUUUUCUCUUUUUCCUUAGAUAUAGUGCUGCAGUUAGGAAUUUAUUAUAACAAGCUUAAAUCAUAAUUUAGAUAAUAGGCUUUAGAAUUUUUAAGACUAUUAUUGUGAUACACACGCAAACAAAUAUAAACAUCUAUAUAUACUCACGUGUGUGUGUG